AACCCAUGAUUUGAGCAUUUUCUCAAUAUCAUCUUGAAUCUUUCCCAUGUCUCACUGAAGACUUCAUUUGCUCCUUGUUUGAUUAUAGAGAUUUGAGAUUGUGCUU
Molecule: small nucleolar RNA, 106 nt
Filed under: Phaseolus vulgaris (common bean)
Lineage: Eukaryota; Viridiplantae; Streptophyta; Magnoliopsida; Fabales; Fabaceae
Description: Plant small nucleolar RNA R71
Rfam family: Plant small nucleolar RNA R71
About the family: R71 is a member of the C/D box family of snoRNAs containing the C (UGAUGA) and D (CUGA) box motifs. Multiple nearly identical copies of this snoRNA have been identified in Arabidopsis, and it is thought to function as a 2'-O-ribose methylation guide for 18S ribosomal RNA.
Source: Rfam by way of RNAcentral